RNAcentral lists this ribosomal RNA (503 nucleotides) under uncultured bacterium. Its description in RNAcentral is "bacterial SSU rRNA". It matches the Rfam family "Bacterial small subunit ribosomal RNA", at positions 28 to 533 of the family's 1533-position model. The record is from RNAcentral.
GACGAACGCUGGCGGCGUGCCUAACACAUGCAAGUCGAGCGGGGUUGAAGCGAGGGGUAACUCGAGUUUCUACCUAGCGGCGGACGGGUGAGUAACGCGUGGGCAACCUGCCUCAAGGACUGGGAUAACAGCUCGAAAGGGCUGCUAAUACCGGAUAAGCCUAUGGCCUCGCAUGGGGCCAUGAGCAAAGGGGAAACCCGCCUUGAGAUGGGCCCGCGUCCCAUCAGCUAGUUGGUGAGGUGAAGGCUCACCAAGGCGACGACGGGUAGCCGGCCUGAGAGGGUGACCGGCCACACUGGGACUGAGACACGGCCCAGACUCCUACGGGGGGCAGCAGUGGGGAAUCUUGCACAAUGGGCGAAAGCCUGAUGCAGCGACGCCGCGUGAGCGAAGAAGGCCUUCGGGUUGUAAAGCUCUGUCUGGAGGGACGGAAGGAAGGUGACGGUACCUCCGGAGGAAGCCACGGCUAACUACGUGCCAGCAGCCGCGGUAAACGUAGCGUG